This is a long non-coding RNA of Eptesicus fuscus (big brown bat), 461 nucleotides long. RefSeq lists it as uncharacterized. The record is from RefSeq and is a predicted model, not a curated record. The transcript is spliced from 3 exons. NCBI's taxonomy places the organism in Eukaryota, Metazoa, Chordata, Mammalia, Chiroptera, Vespertilionidae.
AAGGAAAUCUUGGUGUCUGGCCCCAAUGAUUCGGUCGUCAAGCCCUUGUUGUAAAGCAAGGAGAUGUAUCAGCAAAAAUAUUGCUACGGGAGGAACCAAGAUGGCGGCAUAGGUCCUGGUUGCCUUGCCGGCCAUGGCUAAGCUUCUAUUACCUGAGACCAAGUACCUGUGUGACUGAACGGUGAUCAUGAAGAAGGCAAAGGAUACUGAAACAAGAAGUCCGAUGUCCAGUCCCAGGACAAUUGCAGCUAUGAAUGUCAUCAUCCAAAUAAUCUUACCGGAAGAAGGGAAAAGGAAGACCAUGUAGCAAGCAGAGAUGAGAAAAUCACCAGUCCUAUCUCUCAGCUCGCCCUCUCCCUCUCCCUCCUGACACCUGGGAUUUAGAGGACAAAUUAAACAGCCGCGUGAACUGAUGCCAUCACAAAGGGCUGGCCCAAGGCUGCCGAGCAGUUCUUCCAUGC